This is a long non-coding RNA of Dermacentor andersoni, 3244 nucleotides long. RefSeq lists it as uncharacterized. The record is from RefSeq and is a predicted model, not a curated record. Lineage: Eukaryota; Metazoa; Arthropoda; Arachnida; Ixodida; Ixodidae.
AGGGGUACUACAAGGUCAACAGAACAGGUAUGUAAUUUCAACAGUUUCGAUCGGUGGACCGACCUUCAUCAGGGUUUACAAAUAAAUGCCAAUUCAACCCUGGUAGUGAAGACACCAGACCGGGUGCCCGGUUGUUCUCAAAUACAUCAAACCGAAAGGGACAGUUUUGACAGUGAUUGACUUUCGGUGCUUUGGCAGAUUUACAGCUGACUUUGGCAAUUAUGCAGGGCAAGAGGAAAGCGGAGCCCCAUGUAUGUAGAGCAAGGAGUUCAGUGAGAAGAAAAAAAGAAAGACAGAAAGAAAAGAAAAAGGAAAAAGCACACAGGAGGAGGGAGACGUAAGUCGGAGAGUGAAGGGGGCGGGAAGUAGCGGCAGCUAUAUAGGUUCCCGUUCGCCCGAGGCAAAGAGGCCGAAAACGGUCGCUGCGCAGCACCAGUGCGCGUGCUGCCGUUGUAGCGGGAGGGAGGGCAAGUUGAAUCGGGCGGUGGGGGGCACAAUAGAGAAGGGGCCCAGGUCUUCCUUCUGGGAACUCCAAGUUGCCCCACCGCGCGCGCGCAGAACAUCGCGGAACAGCACAGCGCCGGAGAAAGGUGAUCCGUCCAGCGAGCAGCAACGAAGGCCAUGCAAGGGGGAUCGUGUGUCAGCCACCUUCCGUCAUCGCGAAAGCACGAAUGUCGUUCGUCAUUCGUUGAACAUAACAACAAAUCCUCCACGGCGCCCGCUUUAUAUAACGCAAGAAGGCAGCUGCAAGGACACAAAGAAGGCAAAGAGCCAGCCCUACUCGACUCCACGUAGUUCAGAGAAGCGGAUGCCAAAGAAUCAAAAUACAUUGCCAUGCAAUUUGGACGAGAAAACUGGAAUGUGGGUAUAUUGGUUGCACCAUGUCACUAAACAUCUACAAAACUUUCAAAAUACAGCAUGUCACAACAAGAUGAAAAUUCUGACGUGCUCUAGGCAGUCAUCUUAAGAUGGUAUAUUUAUGUGAUGUCUCUGAUGGCAAAGUCAAGAUCAAGUAUGCCCUCUGGAGACAAACACAUAGGAGCAAGUGUCAUUGAAAAGUUAGAAAUGUGUUUAAAAAAGCCGAUUAGUUUUGUGAGAAGUGACUACUUUUUCUCUUCCCUCUCAACAGAUAUAUCCAUGUCAUAAAAAAGUGGUGCAAUAAAACUGCAUAUUUGCUUAGUGACAUGAUACAUACUUGAAAUGAGCACGAUGCCUGUGUUCACUGUAAAAAGCAACAGCUCAGGCUUGGUUACGUGCUUACCUAAUUUAUCAGCACGUGAAAGCAAGGGCGCAAAUACAAACCACUGUCAUUCUGUAAUUUAAAUGCUGACAUGACGCAGACAGAUUUUCACGUCUUCCCUUUUAACUAUUUUUACGCCUAAUUUCAGAAGUACGGCUUCCUCUUAGGUUCCAGAAAGUGGAAGCAUUGGAGACAGUCUAUGUCAUGAUUAAGAUUAUCGUUUAAGUGCAUGCUAACGAAACCAGUUCAUUAGAACCGCUCGUGCCUCUCGAAGUGAAAACAAGGAGCACUUAAAGCCUUUAACUGUAUACGCCGUGGUGCGCACCACACGUCUUAGUUAGAAGCCACAUAGUCACUUGCAAUUGAAAAUUAUUUUAAAAAUGCGAAAUUGUGGUUUCUACUUCUGUGAAAUAGUCAUAUGAUAGCUUGUUGCAGGUAUUUGAUAUUUUGAUUAGGGUGACUCAAUCUACUUGCCAACCAAGUAGGCUAGUGGAGGCACAGAUGUGUUCAAUGCAAAGAACUUUGAGCAUCUGAGAGAAACACUUGUUAAUCAAUUGGCGGAUGUGAACACAUGGUGUUAAUCAAGCAAAAGCCUCAUAGUUUGAUGGCUUCUGCAGACAUAAUUUUUAUAAGGCAAAAUAAAAUUAAAACAUUUUUGCACAUGGUACAUUUCUGGACUUAAGAUAGAAUGCACCGUAAGGCGAUAUAUUAAGCUCCCCAGACACGUAUGUACUUGUUUCGAGAGGAACAUUCUGUGAAGUGCGAUAAUGUUUCUUACUUAAGCGCAUCUUAACCACUUCAGCAGGAAAAAAGCUUUGGUUUCAAGUAGUUGAUUCAUUGUGCAAGCAUAAGUAUAGUCGCAUGCAAAAUCCACGUGCAUGGAAGCGAUAUGUGAAACAGGAAUGUGCAUUUCUUAAUUUAUGAUUUGGUUCUUUGUUUGUCUUUUUCGUGUACUUCCCUGCUUUUUAUGCUUAUGACGCCUUUGAUGCAUCAUAUUCAUCACAUCUGAUUUUUGGUUCACAUCUGAAGCCAUGCUAUACUUUCGUUAGACUGAAUUUUCAAUUAGUCGCAAUAAUUCAUCAUGUAAUUAUGCAAGCUGCUCCUCGGAAGUAUGGCAUUCUUACCGGAAUGGGAAUGAAAAGCUACCAUGUAUGACAAGAAAUUUGAUGCGCAAGAUUUUAAUGCCAAUGCUCCUUGCAGUUUUAUACUGAUUUGCUACACAAUAGAUAAUAUCGUAAAUUUAAUUUUAUUUAUUUGUGAGAAAGCUUAAUGGAUAAAUCCCAACAGCACCAGGAUACUACUUUCGUGAGGAGGCCAACUGAAUAGGAAAUAUGAUACGCCUCUGCACCGCUUUGAGACCGGGUAGGAUAUUGCUGCAGAACCACGACAAGACACGCCUAGAAAAAAUGGGGUGCAGCCCAUACAUGAAUAAUUUUAUGUGAAAUAUAAUCAAAGCUAGCUAGGCCUGCGGCCUCGCAUGAGAAUAUACAGCACAUUUAUAAAUGCACUGCACACUCGGUCAGGAACAUCCACACGCUGUACAGGACGUUGUCAAAUGAGCUGCUGUCUUAAAAUAUGGCACACAAAAGAAGUUUCUUGCCCAAUUUAUCUACGUUACCAGCCCCGUGCUUCGCAGCUCCUCUAGUAACUUCUGCCAUAUAAGUCCAUGCGUAUUGUGCCAGAAAUGCGUUUGCUGGCCAGUAAUGUGGUGAAUAUUUCCCUUCGAUCGUAGUGUCAAUACUUUGUGAGUUUGCACACAUUUGUUUUAUCUUUAACUUUCCAUUGUAUACUUAAUAUUUGAGAAGGUGGAGCCAAUUAAUAAUUUAGGAUAUUUCUACGCUAAUACUCAUGAAACGUCAGAGAAUACACUUAUGUUUUAUUGCAAGAUGUGUUGUAAAUUUCAUGGGCAUCAUUGUCAUCUGAUUUCAUGUGUUUGUCCGUAUGUUUCUCAAUUUAUUAUUCAUUUGGUCUUGUGACUCACCAAUAAAGGUUUUGGCCUUCUAA